This 253-nucleotide ribosomal RNA is filed under the name uncultured bacterium. RNAcentral's name for it is "partial 16S ribosomal RNA". It matches the Rfam family "Bacterial small subunit ribosomal RNA", at positions 524 to 776 of the family's 1533-position model. The record is from RNAcentral.
UACAGAGAGUGCAAACGUUGUUCGGAAUUACUGGGCUUAAAGAGCACGUAGGCGGCAUCGUAAGUGUCGGGUGAAAUCCCACGGCUCACCCGUGGAACUGCCUGGCAGACUGCGAUGCUCGAGUGUGGUAGGGGAGAGCGGAACUCCUGGUGGAGCGGUGAAAUGCGUAGAUAUCAGGAGGAACACCGGUAGCGAAGGCGGCUCUCUGGUCCACAACUGACGCUGUGGUGCGAAAGCUGGGGGAGCAACCGGG